GUGAGCCGGGGGAGGGCUCCAGCGCUUGGCCACUACUGAAUGGAGUCAGCGCCAACCGAUGGAAGCGCCGAGUCCUGGCUAUGUGGAACAGCUUCCCAGCCAGAACAGUCAAUGACGUACCUAUUUAUACUCUCGCAAAGGAGCUGCUUGAAUACCUGGCUGAGAAAGGAUUGGCCAUUACUAAG
Molecule: long non-coding RNA, 185 nt
Organism: Amblyraja radiata (thorny skate)
Lineage: Eukaryota; Metazoa; Chordata; Chondrichthyes; Rajiformes; Rajidae
Exons: 2
Source: RefSeq, a predicted model, not a curated record